GGACGAACGCUGGCGGCGUGCUUACCCCAUGCAAGUCGUACGGUAAGGCCCUUUCGGGGGUACACGAGUGGCGAACGGGUGAGUAACACGUGAGUAACCUGCCCACAACUUUGGGAUAACGCUAGGAAACUGGUGCUAAUACUGGAUAUGUGCUCCUGCUGCAUGGUGGGGGUUGGAAAGCUCCGGCGGUUGUGGAUGGACUCGCGGCCUAUCAGCUUGUUGGUGGGGUAGUGGCCUACCAAGGCGGCGACGGGGAGCCGGCCUGGGGGGGUGAUCGGCCACAGUGGGACUGAGAGACGGCCGAGACACCUACGGGGGGAAGAAGUGGGGAAUAUUGCACAAGGGGCGCCAGCCUGAUGCAGCAACGCGGCGGGCGGGAUGACGGCCUUCGGGUUGUAAACCGCAUUCAGCAGGGACGAAGCUUUUUGUGACGGUACCUGCAGAAGAAGCACCGGCUAACUACGUG
Molecule: ribosomal RNA, 466 nt
Filed under: uncultured bacterium
Lineage: Bacteria
Description: partial 16S ribosomal RNA
Rfam family: Bacterial small subunit ribosomal RNA
Source: RNAcentral